GAUGAAGAACGUAGCGAAAUGCGAUAAGUAAUGUGAAUUGCAGAAUUCAGUGAAUCAUCGAAUCUUUGAACGCACAUUGCGCCCGCCAGUAUUCUGGCGGGCAUGCCUGUUCGAGCGUCAUUUCAACCAUCAAGCCCCCGGCUUGUGUUGGGGACCUGCGGCUGCCGCAGGCCCUGAAAAGCAGUGGCGGGCUCGCUGUCACACCGAGCGUAGUAGCAUACAUCUCGCUCUGGGCGUGCUGCGGGUUCCGGCCGUUAAACCACCUUCAUAACCCAAGGUUGACCUCGGAUCAGGUAGGAAGACCCGCUGAACUUAAGCAUAUCAAUAAGCGGAGGA
This 336-nucleotide unclassified non-coding RNA is filed under the name soil metagenome. Its description in RNAcentral is "partial contains 5.8S ribosomal RNA, internal transcribed spacer 2, and large subunit ribosomal RNA". The stretch from base 1 to 120 matches the Rfam family "5.8S ribosomal RNA", at positions 35 to 154 of the family's 154-position model. The record is from RNAcentral.